UGGGGAAUAUUGCGCAAUGGGCGAAAGCCUGACGCAGCCACGCCGCGUGAGCGAUGAAGGCCUUCGGGUCGUAAAGCUCUGUGGGGAGAGACGAAGAAAGCCCGUGAAGAGCGGGCCUUGACGGUAUCUCCUUAGCAAGCACCGGCUAACUCCGUGCCAGCAGCCGCGGUAAUACGGAGGGUGCAAAUGUUGCUCGGAAUCAUUGGGCGUAAAGCGCACGUAGGCGGCGAGAUAAGUCGGGUGUGAAAGCCCUGGGCUCAACCCAGGAAGUGCAUUCGAAACUGUCUCGCUUGAAUCUCGGAGGGGGUCAGAGAAUUCCCGGUGUAGAGGUGAAAUUCGUAGAUAUCGGGAGGAAUACCAGUGGCGAAGGCGCUGACCUGGACGAAGAUUGACGCUGAGGUGCGAAAGCGCGGGGAGCAAACAG
This 424-nucleotide ribosomal RNA is filed under the name uncultured bacterium. Its description in RNAcentral is "bacterial SSU rRNA". It matches the Rfam family "Bacterial small subunit ribosomal RNA", at positions 355 to 775 of the family's 1533-position model. The record is from RNAcentral.